This 958-nucleotide ribosomal RNA is filed under the name Salmonella enterica subsp. enterica serovar Montevideo. RNAcentral's name for it is "bacterial SSU rRNA". It matches the Rfam family "Bacterial small subunit ribosomal RNA", at positions 359 to 1328 of the family's 1533-position model. The record is from RNAcentral. Lineage: Bacteria; Pseudomonadati; Pseudomonadota; Gammaproteobacteria; Enterobacterales; Enterobacteriaceae.
GAAUAUUGCACAAUGGGCGAAAGCCUGAUGCAGCGACGCCGCGUGAGGGAUGACGGCCUUCGGGUUGUAAACCUCUUUCAGCAGGGAAGAAGCGCAAGUGACGGUACCUGCAGAAGAAGCACCGGCUAACUACGUGCCAGCAGCCGCGGUAAUACGUAGGGUGCGAGCGUUGUCCGGAAUUAUUGGGCGUAAAGAGCUUGUAGGCGGUUUGUCGCGUCUGCCGUGAAAAUUCGAGGCUCAACCUCGAACUUGCGGUGGGUACGGGCAGACUAGAGUGUGGUAGGGGAGACUGGAAUUCCUGGUGUAGCGGUGAAAUGCGCAGAUAUCAGGAGGAACACCGAUGGCGAAGGCAGGUCUCUGGGCCACUACUGACGCUGAGAAGCGAAAGCAUGGGGAGCGAACAGGAUUAGAUACCCUGGUAGUCCAUGCCGUAAACGUUGGGAACUAGGUGUGGGUCUCAUUCCACGAGAUCCGUGCCGCAGCUAACGCAUUAAGUUCCCCGCCUGGGGAGUACGGCCGCAAGGCUAAAACUCAAAGGAAUUGACGGGGGCCCGCACAAGCGGCGGAGCAUGCGGAUUAAUUCGAUGCAACGCGAAGAACCUUACCAAGGCUUGACAUAUGCGAGAACGCGGCAGAGAUGUCGUUCUCUUUGGACACUCGCAUACAGGUGGUGCAUGGUUGUCGUCAGCUCGUGUCGUGAGAUGUUGGGUUAAGUCCCGCAACGAGCGCAACCCUCGUUCUAUGUUGCCAGCACGUGAUGGUGGGGACUCAUAGGAGACUGCCGGGGUCAACUCGGAGGAAGGUGGGGAUGACGUCAAAUCAUCAUGCCCCUUAUGUCUUGGGCUUCACGCAUGCUACAAUGGCCGGUACAAAGGGCUGCGAUACCGCGAGGUGGAGCGAAUCCCAAAAAACCGGUCUCAGUUCGGAUUGGGGUCUGCAACUCGACCCCAUGAAGUCG